This is a long non-coding RNA of Rana temporaria (common frog), 365 nucleotides long. RefSeq lists it as uncharacterized. NCBI's taxonomy places the organism in Eukaryota, Metazoa, Chordata, Amphibia, Anura, Ranidae. The transcript is spliced from 3 exons. The record is from RefSeq and is a predicted model, not a curated record.
GUAUGCAGAAAGACUUCUAGACUUUUUUGAUCUGGAACACUUGAAGUCAGGUGUUGAGCAUAACAGCAGGUCAAUCAUUUUGGGUCGGCAGUAAAUAUUUUUCAUGAUAUGUUUAAACUUUGCAUUUUUAACCUCCACCUCAAAUUUUAUCUCUUGUAGACAAGUUGCAAUUGAAAAUGUUAUCUUUUCCAUUAUUGGAAGCCUUGACCACUUCAAGCAAGUUGAAGGCAGAACACUCCAAGCAUGAUGGAAUCCCUUCUCUUGUCCGGCAGCAUUAGUGGAUGCUGGCGAGAUGACCAUCAAGGCUGAAGUAUGGCAACACUGUGCUGUUUGAGAGUAAACGGAGAGACAAGUUGCAAUUGAAA